ACUAAGUUUUUCAAAUCUUUUAGUUAUAUCCUUAUGGCAUGAGAUAACCUUUUUGCUUUUUGUCUUAUUUUUCUUGAAUUGAACUGAAUUCUUCAGCUUGAAGCAUGGUAUUCUUUAUUAUAUUAUGAGUGUUGAUUUAUUUUAAUUAUGAGCGAAUGUCCAAAUAUUUUAUAGUGACUAUUUUGUAUUUUUUCACAGAAAGUAGGCUAAAAGAUUUAUAUUUCGGAAAAAAAUAAGCGUAGGAAGGAAGCCUUUUCCAAGGUUUGUCGACUAUGGCCCAUGGACGCCGUUGCCGUUUCGAUUUUUCGAAUAUUGCAGAAUUGCAGACGACAUCUGUGCAGUUCUCCUCUGACAGUGACAGCCCUAAUUCACGCAGCACAAUAGCGAGCGUGCAGCGAGUGUACGACGAAAAAACUCUACAACCCACAAAACUGGAAGCCAAACUGCACUUUUUGCGAGUUCUUUUCAUUUGGAUUUUAAGGGUUUCAUCAAUUGCACAUAACUGUUUUCCUAGUUUGACUAAAUAUCAAAUUGGAUUGAGAGUAUACUUUGCUGUCGUGGUUCCAUUUUAGUCCUGACUUGUUGCUUCAAUUCAGUGUGUUGUUUUAUCUUGUUCUGGGCAUUUCCUGUGCUAAAGAAUGCCACUCCGGUUAGAGGUAUGCGUCAUUUGAGAUCUACUGGAAUUUAAACAUUUUUAGAAAAUGAUUGAAUCUUGAAACUCAUGUUCCUGCCAAGUGUUAGGCCAUUUCAAGCGAUUCACAAGAGCAUUCACAAGACUUCAUUCCUUCAUAGUAAUUUUUUAAAAAGUUUCUAAAUUUGCAUUUCAGACUUGAUGAGAAGUCAUGACAUUUCAAGGAAAAGGAUAAGGACUAUACAGUCAAUAAGGUUCCUUGUUUGCUAUUGGCUGCUACCCUUGGUUCUCCAUUUUUACUUCCUCCUUCUUGAUUUGAGGUCAUGAUUGAUUGGAAUCGAAACCAUUCUGUCUCGACACCGAAAUUCUUUGGAACGAGAAUUGAGGUUGUGAUAUGCUAGUAAUGCUACAGCCAUUUAGCAUAAAGGGCAUCACCCGUCAACAAAGUGCUUAGUUUGUUAACCCGUUGACUUCUACACAACACUUUAAAUCCCCAUCCUUCCGCUCUUAUUUUGAAUUGCUUGCUGUCUUUACAAUCUUACAUGACAUUUUUAUAUCUGAAGGCACCUACAUUCUCGUUUCAGGUAAAUCUGGCGCCGCUAUUCCAUAGGCUGAAUCCAUUAGUGGAAACUGAAAAGGGAUCAGUGACGACUGACUGACGUGUUGUCAUCAGCAAUACUGCUCAUAUAGUGCCACGCUUCCGUUGCCCCCGAGGCGUGGUGCCUGCUCCAGCUACGCGGCCAGAAUAAUUUGACUUCGACUACCCAACCGACGGUCUGGUGGGUCAACUCACCCUUCACUGACUAUCCUUCUACCCCUGCUCUCAACACAGCACGGAGUUUCUCGAGGACGACGAGAUCAUGGUUUUGAUGGGGAGAAUAUGUUUCGUCAUGAGAUGUAAUGUCCUUUCAAGAUAGUCAACAAGGUCCUUUGUUUGCUAACCCAAUGGCUGCUACCCUUGAAUCUCCCCUUUACUUCCUUACACAGGCCCUCUUGAUUGGAGGGUAAUUCCUUCCUGAACUUCAUUCAUUGCUGAAAACCGAUGAGAUCAUGCUGUAAUUCAAGACCGAUAAAUUGUGUAGUUAGCUAAAUUACAAGUGCAUAUCUGGGCUCCCUUCUUUUCUGUGGCCCCGUUUCCCUAACUAACCACUAACCAACGCCCGCCGGUGGUCACUCACCCGCUGUGAAACCAGGAGGAGGGGAGGGCUCUGGUCGAACGGGGACUUGGAAGGCGCAUGAUCCGAUGAAAACUUUUGGAGGGUCAUGAGUCUAACCCGGAAGCCUAGUAUGACUACAUCUCCCCGGAAAAACUUGCCUCGUACUUCUCUCUUCUUCUCGGUCCAGAUAAAUAUCUCUGGGGGCCGUAGACAUAUCCUAUAACAGCAUGUGCGAGUUAAAACAAUGCAUCCACUACCCAAUGAAACAAAUAGUCAUGGUUUAUUUUUUGUGGAAAUCUCCGUCAGUCAAGUUACAAAGACGAUGCAGAUUUCCGCAAAACUAAUCCAUCGCUUUUUGUCUCAUUGCCGCAGCGGUGGUGGCGGGUUGCGUUUAAACUCGUGCAGUAGUAAACCGUCUUGAACCGGACGCUCUGUUUAUUGAAUUAUAUAUUUUUGAAAAAUAAAAAAAAUUGUACUAAA
RNAcentral lists this long non-coding RNA (2268 nucleotides) under Daphnia pulex (common water flea). RNAcentral's name for it is "uncharacterized LOC124205563". Lineage: Eukaryota; Metazoa; Arthropoda; Branchiopoda; Diplostraca; Daphniidae. The record is from RNAcentral.